This 386-nucleotide unclassified non-coding RNA is filed under the name Salicornia perennans subsp. altaica. RNAcentral's name for it is "partial external transcribed spacer". Lineage: Eukaryota; Viridiplantae; Streptophyta; Magnoliopsida; Caryophyllales; Amaranthaceae. The record is from RNAcentral.
AACAUACCUUUUCAUUGUAUGCUGCAAGUGCACCAUUUUGCCUUGGGCGACGUGUGGUCCAUAUGUUGGAUUCCGAUUAACGGUAUUGUUGUUGUCCCUUUAAAGAGUGAUAUUCGCUCUACGUCUGUAAAAGGAGGUCGAGCGGACCAUGAAACUUGACUCGUUAUCCUCCUGUUUUGUGAAAACAAGCAUGAUAGGGUUGGAUUAUGAUCUCAAGUUGGGCCCUAGGAUACAGAAAGUUGUGUGGGAGUUGAUGUUAAAACGUCGCAAACCCAAAGCGUUGGUACGCUAACGAUGGAUGACAUUCGAGUGUGUUGUGAUUCUUUCAUUCUAGAAAGGUUCAUGCGCGCCGAUGUCGACCAAGGAGUGCUACCUGGUUGAUCCUG